RNAcentral lists this ribosomal RNA (468 nucleotides) under uncultured bacterium. Its description in RNAcentral is "partial 16S ribosomal RNA". It matches the Rfam family "Bacterial small subunit ribosomal RNA", at positions 28 to 507 of the family's 1533-position model. The record is from RNAcentral.
GACGAACGCUGGCGGCGUGCUUAACACAUGCCAGUCGAACGGAAAGGCCCUGCUCUUGUGGGGUGCUCGAGUGCCGAACGGGUGAGUAACACGUGUGUAAACUGUCCCUGUCUUUGGGAUAUCUCCAGGAAACUGCGGCGAUUACCGGAUAUAAGCUCCUGCUGCAUGGUGGGGGUUGGAAAGUUUCGGUGGUUGUGGCUGGACUAGCGGCUUAUCAGCUUGUUGGUGUGGUAGUGGCUGACGAAGGUUUCGACGGAUAGCCGGCCUGAGAGGGGGGCCGGCGACAAGAGGACUAAGAUACGGAGCAGAAUCGUACGGGAGGCAGCAGGCGGGAGUAUUGCAGAAUGGGCGGACGCCUGAUGAAGCAGCGCCGGGAGCGGGAUACCGGCUUUCGGGUUGUAAACCGCUUUGGCCUGUGACGAAGCGUGAGUGACGGUAAUGGGUAAAGAAGCACCGGCUAACUACGUG